CCGACCAACGGCUGAGAUCCCACGAACCUAACCCGUAAUCAUUACCCGAUCCGAUACCCGGUUCAACCCGUCCCCCCAGCUUAAACCAAACGACAUCAUUUGGUUAAGUGGAUAAAUCCUGACCUUUCAUUCUACUAGAUCUAACGGUCAGCAUCAACCCACCCCGUCCCUAUAUAAGUCCAAACCCCUACCCCGGCCCCCUAACUUAACACCCCCCCUCUCCACUGUUCAUCAUCGUCUUCCUCAAACAAACCCCUAACCCUAGCCGCCCUAACAUCCCCACCGCCUGAAACCCGGCGGCAACAACGCCGCCGGUCACCAAAAUAACACCCCAGAACCCCAUGAACACCCUCUAUCCGAAUAUGUUAUCCGCUUGGCUCGAAUCUCCCUGAAGGUUCUCGAAUCUUCAUUUGAAGAUUCGAGCCAAGCUCAGAUCUAAACCAAACAGCCCCUAGUUAACACCAUAGCACCCCCUAGCAUGCCUCGUUAUGGAUCUAGUGUUGGUUUGGUUCGAAUCCCCUCAGAACUCUUCGAAUCUUCUUUUGAAGGUUCGAAUCAAAAAUGAAUUCACUCAGAUCCCGUUCAAAUUAACACCAAAUCACCCUUAGGCUUCCCUCACCCUUGUGUCAUCAUUGGUUUGAUUCGAAUCUACCCAGAAGUGUUCGGAUUUAAAAUUCAAGAUCUGAAACCCUAAAUUUUCCAAGAUUGGAAUCUUUUUCAAUUCAGACGAAAGAUUGAGGUUUAAUCGACCUUAGUCAAAGUAUUUUCAGUUGAAAAUACUUCGACUAAGGUCUGUUUGAUUUCAAAAAGCCCGAACCCAAGUUGAGUUUGAGUCCGGUUGAAUUUGAAGGUUCAGAGGUAAUUUUUCUGUUUCUUAUGUGUAUUCUACAUGUAUUCUAUGUUUGUUUCAUUAGUCUGUUUAAUUUUUCAUAAUUUUCUAGUCAAUUUUGUUAUACUGUCUCAUACUCGUCUAUUUGAUCAGAAUUAUACUAUUGUUUCUGUUGUUUAUGAGUGUUUAUAAUAUGUGUAAUCGACUCGAUUAAGUUCGUCGAUUAGUUGUUUUGUAAAUUCUUAUUGCCAUUAAUGCUGUUUGUAAUACCUUGUUUAUCUGUUUGGAAUUGAUUAUUAUCAUUGAAAUCAGUCAAUUAGUUCUUCCCAAUUAAUUGAUUCUCGUUUAAUAAGCAGAAAGUUUGUCAAUGGUGUGUAUAUGUUGAUUUCUGAACAUUGAG
This 1229-nucleotide long non-coding RNA is filed under the name Nicotiana tabacum (common tobacco). Its description in RNAcentral is "long non-coding RNA (NTAB_LNC009318)". Lineage: Eukaryota; Viridiplantae; Streptophyta; Magnoliopsida; Solanales; Solanaceae. The record is from RNAcentral.